RNAcentral lists this ribosomal RNA (560 nucleotides) under Cortinarius alboviolaceus. RNAcentral's name for it is "eukaryotic LSU rRNA". The stretch from base 180 to 333 matches the Rfam family "5.8S ribosomal RNA". Lineage: Eukaryota; Fungi; Basidiomycota; Agaricomycetes; Agaricales; Cortinariaceae. The record is from RNAcentral.
GGAAGGAUCAUUAUUGAAAUAAACCUGAUGGGUUGUUGCUGGUUCUCUAGGGAGCAUGUGCACGCCUUGUCAUCUUUAUAUCUCCACCUGUGCACCUUUUGUAGACCUUCUAGGUCUAUGUUGCUUUUUCAUUUACCCCAAUGUAUGUUAAUAGAAUGUUGUGACUAUAAAAACUAUACAACUUUCAGCAACGGAUCUCUUGGCUCUCGCAUCGAUGAAGAACGCAGCGAAAUGCGAUAAGUAAUGUGAAUUGCAGAAUUCAGUGAAUCAUCGAAUCUUUGAACGCACCUUGCGCUCCUUGGUAUUCCGAGGAGCAUGCCUGUUUGAGUGUCAUUAAUAUAUAUCAACCUUCUCAUUGCUGAGUGGUUUGGAUGUGGGGGUUUGCUGGCCUCUUAAAUGAGUUCAGCUCUCCUGAAAUGCAUUAGCAGAACAACCCUGUUCAUUGGCGUGAUAACUAUCUACGCUAUUGAAUGUGAGGGACAGUUCAGCUUUCUAAUAGUCCUUGGACAACUCAUCAUUUAUGUGACCUCAAAUCAGGUAGGACUACCCGCUGAACUUAA